RNAcentral lists this long non-coding RNA (1622 nucleotides) under Citrus sinensis (sweet orange). Its description in RNAcentral is "long non-coding RNA (CSIN_LNC000550)". Lineage: Eukaryota; Viridiplantae; Streptophyta; Magnoliopsida; Sapindales; Rutaceae. The record is from RNAcentral.
UUUAGUUGGGUCCAGUCGUCCGGAGCACGAGAAGACGUGGAUCUCCAAGCAUCAAUGGAGAUGAGUAUGCCAGGACAAUCAUACGAAUUGACGAAAAUGUCCUUGUGGUUCAAAGUUACGGUUUCAGAGAACAAACGUAACACCUGAGAAACCCCUGUUGGCUGUUGCACUUGCUAUGUAACUGAACAAACAAACCGACCUUCCGAUCACGUUUCACUUCCAAAUGAAAACCUUAGUUUUUGUAAACUCAAUUGGUAAUUACUCGAAUCCAUUGAUUAUUUCACCUCCAAAUUUUCUCACCCAUUUUCCAUUACUUUCUCAAAAUAAUAAAACAUUCCUUCCCUUUUCCCGCUCAAAAUGGUUUCGCGAUCCCAAAACCCUAAAUUUAUCUCCCAUCAAAGCUGUUACAUCGCCCGAAUCAUUGAGUUACGGCGGGUGGGAGGAUUUGAGGCUCAGUGACUCGGUUGUGUCAACUCCGCUGCGUGAUUUUUUACUUUCCAUUGGAAUUGAUGAUCGAAAGUAUGUCUUUAUGUUUAUUUUAGGGCUUCUAUGUGCCUUUUCCAUUUCUAGGGUCAGGGUGUCGUCUAUAAUUGUGUUUCCAGCUACAGUUUUGGUUUUUGCAAUUGGGUUUUCAUUUGGGUUUGUUCGGGGUAGCAGCUUCAGUGAAGUAGGUGCAAGUAAAAGAAGAUCGAAAGAGGAAAUUUUUAGGCCUAAUAGUGAGAACUUGAGGAAUUUAUUGGAUUUUUUUGAACGGUUAAAUUCUAAAAUCUUAAAUUAUUUUCCUCUUACUUUAUAGUUCACAACUAUAAACUCUUAUAAUUUUUUAAAGAAAUUUAUUUUUAUUAGAAUAUAAAUAUAAAUUAUGAAAUGGGGUGGAUGUAAAGUAUUUAUCAAAAAAAUAAUUAACUUAAGUAUUUAAUUUAAUUUCCAUUCAAAAAAUUGGAAACGAAUCAAAUCAUAUUUGGUUAUUAAGAUAAUUUCAAUAAGAUAUGCGGUUUAUGUGGAGUAUUGAGGGGGUGUCAACAGGCGUAGCCUCGAUCCAAUCGUGUGAGAAAAAUUAUAUUUAGGCUUUAGUUGGGUCCAGUCGUCCGGAGCACGAGAAGACGUGGAUCUCCAAGCAUCAAUGGAGAUGAGUAUGCCAGGACAAUCAUACGAAUUGACGAAAAUGUCCUUGUGGUUCAAAGUUACGGUUUCAGAGAACAAACGUAACACCUGAGAAACCCCUGUUGGCUGUUGCACUUGCUAUGUAACUGAACAAACAAACCGACCUUCCGAUCACGUUUCACUUCCAAAUGAAAACCUUAGUUUUUGUAAACUCAAUUGGUAAUUACUCGAAUCCAUUGAUUAUUUCACCUCCAAAUUUUCUCACCCAUUUUCCAUUACUUUCUCAAAAUAAUAAAACAUUCCUUCCCUUUUCCCGCUCAAAAUGGUUUCGCGAUCCCAAAACCCUAAAUUUAUCUCCCAUCAAAGCUGUUACAUCGCCCGAAUCAUUGAGUUACGGCGGGUGGGAGGAUUUGAGGCUCAGUGACUCGGUUGUGUCAACUCCGCUGCGUGAUUUUUUACUUUCCAUUGGAAUUGAUGAUCGAAAGUAUGUCUUUAUGUUUAUUUUAGGGCUUCUAUGU